AGGAUGGGACUGCGACUGAUCAGGCUGUUGGCGGGGUAAUGGCCCACCAAACCAGUAACCAGUUACGGGCCUUGAGAGAGGGGGCCCGGAGAUGGACACUGAGAGAAGGGUCCAGGUCCUACGGGGCGCAGCAGGCGCGAAACCUUCGCAAUGCGCGGAAGCGUGACGAGGUUAAUCCGAGUGGUUCCCGCUGAGGGAAUCUUUUGUCGGCUGUAAAAAGGCCGGCGAAUAAGGGGAGGGCAAGUCUGGUGUCAGCCGCCGCGGUAAUACCAGCUCCUCGAGUGGUCGGGGCGAUUAUUGGGCCUAAAGCAUCCGUAGCCGGUUCCGUAGGUCCUCUGUUAAAUCCAACGGCUUAACCGUUGGCCCGCAGAGGAUACCGCGGGACUAGGAGGCGGGAGAGGCAGGCGGUACUCUACGUGUAGGGGUAAAAUCCUUUGAUCCGUAGAAGACCACCAGUGGCGAAGGCGGCCUGCCAGAACGCGCUCGACGGUGAGGGAUGAAAGCUGGGGGAGCGAACCGGAUUAGAUACCCGGGUAGUCCCAGCCGUAAACGAUGCGAGCUAGAUGAUUCGGUCGCAAAUCGCGAUCGAAGUGUCGCAGGGAAGCCGUUAAGCUCGCCGCCUGGGGAGUACGGUCGCAAGACUG
Molecule: ribosomal RNA, 644 nt
Filed under: uncultured crenarchaeote
Lineage: Archaea; Thermoproteati; Thermoproteota
Description: bacterial SSU rRNA
Rfam family: Archaeal small subunit ribosomal RNA
Source: RNAcentral